UACGUAGGGUGCAAGCGUUAAUCGGAAUUACUGGGCGUAAAGCGUGCGCAGGCGGUGAUGUAAGACAGGUGUGAAAUCCCCGGGCUUAACCUGGGAACUGCAUUUGUGACUGCAUCGCUGGAGUGCGGCAGAGGGGGAUGGAAUUCCGCGUGUAGCGGUGAAAUGCGUAGAUAUCUGGAGGAACACCGGUGGCGAAGGCGGCGUCCUGGACCAACACUGACACUGAGGAGCGAAAGCCAGGGGAGCAAACGGG
RNAcentral lists this ribosomal RNA (253 nucleotides) under uncultured bacterium. RNAcentral describes it as "partial 16S ribosomal RNA". It matches the Rfam family "Bacterial small subunit ribosomal RNA", at positions 524 to 776 of the family's 1533-position model. The record is from RNAcentral.